Molecule: RNA transcript, 1564 nt
Organism: Chelonia mydas (Green sea turtle)
Lineage: Eukaryota; Metazoa; Chordata; Testudines; Cheloniidae
Gene name: zinc finger protein 436
Exons: 2
Source: RefSeq, a predicted model, not a curated record
CUCCUCCCUUGUCAUCUGGGGAGGAACCAGCAGCUGCUGCUCCCCAGCCGGGUCUGUGCAGGGGAGAGACCUUCAUUAAAGCUCCUUCUGUGCCCAGCCCAGGUGGGGAUUUUUUGGAACUAGCCCCUGGGGCAUCCCCAGGCUCUGCCAACACCAGCUCCUGAGCCGGAGACUCCAGAAGGUGAUGGGACAGUGAGUGAGAACGAAGGAGGAGAAUCCUCAGCAGAAAAUCCUCAGCAAGUGUAACUGCGUGGGAUGUUAUCAAGAAGAACUGAAGGGAAUUUCUUCCAGAGUCGUAAGAGAGGCAGCUAGGAAAAAGGUGGAUAAAUCUAUUUAUUGUGGGAGUGGCUGUGGGAAUCUCAAGGAAACUACAGCCCAGCAAGGAAUCCAAAUGGGAGAGAGAAAAAACACAUCCACUGAGUUUGGGAAAAGUUUUAAUGACAGCUCACAUCUUCCUAGACAUCAGAGAACGCUCAUGGGGGAAAGACCCUUCAAGUGCUCGGACUGUGGGAAAAGCUUCAGUCUGAGCUCAAACCUUCUUACCCACCAGAGAACCCACACGGGAGAGCGACCCUAUAAAUGCUUGGACUGUGGAAAAAGUUUCAGCCUGAGCUCAAACCUUCUUACACACCGGCGACACCACACGGGAGAGCGACCCUAUAAAUGCUUGGACUGCGGGAAAAGUUUCAUUCAGAGCUCCGAUCUUAUUUCACAUCAAAGACUCCACACGGGAGAGAGACCCUAUAAAUGCCUUGACUGUGGGAAAAGUUUUAUUCAGAGCUCACACCUUAUUAGACAUCAGAGUCUCCAUUUAGGAGAGAAACCCCAUAAGUGCCUCAUCUGUGGGAAAAAUUUCACUCAGAAGUCACACCUUAUUAGACACCAGGGAAUUCACACAGGAGAGGAGCCCUGUAAGUGCCCUGACUGUGGGGAAACAUUCGUUCAGAGCUCACAGCUUAUUGUGCAUCAGAGAAUCCAUACGGGAGAGAAACCUUUUAAAUGCUUGGACUGUGGGAAAACCUUCAGUCGGAGUUCCCACCUUAUUGUACAUCAGAGAACCCACACAGGAGAGAAGCCGUAUAAAUGCUUUGACUGUGGCAAAAGUUUUAGUGUCAACUCAAACCUUAUUACACAUCAGAGGACCCACACAGGAGAGAGGCCCUAUAAGUGUCUGGACUGUGGGAAAAGUUUCCAGCGGAGCUCACAUCUUAUUAAACAUCAGAAAACCCACACAGCAAAGAGGACCUGAAUGUGGGUGACUCUUCACAUCGGGCUAUGAUCAUAACAGGCUUCUGCAAAUCCAUACAAGAUAGAGACCUCCUAAACGUCCUCUGUGUGGCAAAUGUUUCAAGCAGAAUUCACAUCAUAUUGGACAUGAGAGACUCCACACAGCAGAGAAAUUGUAGCGGGCUGCCAGCCUCUGUUGUUGUUAGCUUUCUGUUUAAUGCUUGUCUCUUCUAAGUGCUCUAAAACUUGCAUGGUUACUCGGAUUGCUCUGAUAUUUGGUGUACCUCAUGGGUUCAUGGGGUAGAGUUAGUGAAAUAAAAUUGGGGUCACUUGAAUA